CCCAACAAUGAAACAAAUGAUGUUGAAAAGUCAAUCUAUGUCAUGAUCGAUCAAGCACUGAGGUCGAACCUUGUUAGACGGAGUGAAUAGGAAAACAGGCUUCAAUGGUUAGACCCUGGUUUCUUAUAACAUGAAGGAGAAUCUAAUUAGCCAUGCUUGAAAGAAACAAGAGGAAAGUGAUGCCCCAUUGUUAUUUCUAAUUUUAUAAGAUAGCUAAAUAAUAGUUCACUUGUUUCAAGAACACAUUUCAGGUGCUAAAUAAUCUGAUAUGCUACAUAUUUGUAUUGUAAUGAUAUGGCUUAAUCGCUGCCGUGAUACAUUUGAUUGCCUCACCGCGCAACUUGAGCAAAGCAUUAGUCUUAGAUUUGAGAAGAUUGCACAAGGUCUAACUUUGGUCUAUUUGGCCAUGGGCCCGCUGCCGAUGAGUAAUGUUCCUUGAGUAUGCAAUAUCAAGUGUUGAGUGCUAGUUGCAUCAAUCAUUGAUAAAUAUGUUAGAUUGCAUAGGAGGGGGAAAAGUAAACUGAAUGAUUCCAAACACUUAAUCUUAAUGAAAACUUUGGGGGAGGGCUGGUUUUCAAUAGUAAAUUGGAAUGACUGUUUUUGCUACUCAAGAUAAUCCUGGUUGGCCUCAAGGAUGGAAACUAUUUCUGGUAGACAAACAAAGCAGAAAAGAACAAACUGAAGGUUUUUGUUGGCAACAUGCGGGAUGAACCAAGCAUGCCAGCAGACUGGCCAGUAAUAACUAAAGGUAAUGUGGGUACUGUCUAGCGAGCUGAAUGAAGAUACAGGCCUGGUAAGGUAUUAGUGGAGAGGUCAAAUCUAGCAAUUCAGGAUUGAUUCCCCUUGACCAGUCAAAAUUUGCCAUGUCUGCUGUCUUGGACGAAUAAGAAGCUACCACAUUAAAGCCAGGAUCCUCUGAGAUUCUUCGAUGUUUGCAAUCAAAUAAGUCACGAUGAUCCAAAUCAAGCUAAGCAUGGAAUGGCCGUGUCAAGGAGGGUGAUUGGCAGGAUGACGUCUCCAAAAGAUCCUUUGAAAUCCCUUCUAGAUCCUGUGAACUGAACAUUCUCAGUUGACUGGAGUUGCUCAAAAGUGGUGGAAUAGAUUAAAAAAAAACACAUGCAGAUUGACGUUUAAGUAGUGGAUAUUGCACAUUCUCAUGGAAGUUGCUCAUUAUUAAAACAAAAAUAAAUAAAACAACAAGAAAAAC
Magnolia sinica is the source of this 1207-nucleotide long non-coding RNA. RefSeq lists it as uncharacterized. NCBI's taxonomy places the organism in Eukaryota, Viridiplantae, Streptophyta, Magnoliopsida, Magnoliales, Magnoliaceae. The record is from RefSeq and is a predicted model, not a curated record. The transcript is spliced from 2 exons.